This 497-nucleotide ribosomal RNA is filed under the name uncultured bacterium. RNAcentral describes it as "partial 16S ribosomal RNA". It matches the Rfam family "Bacterial small subunit ribosomal RNA", at positions 28 to 507 of the family's 1533-position model. The record is from RNAcentral.
GACGAACGCUGGCGGCGUGCCUAAUACAUGCAAGUAGAACGCUGAAGAGAGGCGCUUGCUCUUCUUGGAUGAGUUGCGCACGGGUGAGUAACGCGUAGGUAACCUGCCUUGUAGCGGGGGAUAACUAUUGGAAACGAUAGCUAAUACCGCAUAACCAUGGGUGGCACAUGUCAGUUAGUUGAAAGGGGCCAUUGUUCCACUACCAGAUGGACCUUCGGUGUAUUGGCUUGUAGGUGAGGUAAUGGCUCACCUAGGGGAAGGUACAUAGCCGGACUGGGCGGGUGGGUAGCCGCACUGGGAGGGUGACACGCCACAAUGGGCCUGAGGUAGGGCCCGGAGGGCAACGUGGGCAAGGGGUGCAACCCUGUCCGAGCAACGCCGCGGGAGUGAGGAAGGUUUUCGGGUCGUGAAUCUCGGUCGUAGGUCAAGAACGGGUGUGAGAGUGGAACGUAGAGACUGUGACGGUAACGUGCCAGAAAGCAACGGCUAACUACGUG